Molecule: ribosomal RNA, 1734 nt
Filed under: Escherichia coli
Lineage: Bacteria; Pseudomonadati; Pseudomonadota; Gammaproteobacteria; Enterobacterales; Enterobacteriaceae
Description: partial 23S ribosomal RNA
Rfam family: Bacterial large subunit ribosomal RNA
Source: RNAcentral
CUAUGUGUUGUUGGGUAGGGGAGCGUUCUGUAAGCCUGUGAAGGUGGCCUGUGAGGGUUGCUGGAGGUAUCAGAAGUGCGAAUGCUGACAUAAGUAACGAUAAAGCGGGUGAAAAGCCCGCUCGCCGGAAGACCAAGGGUUCCUGUCCAACGUUAAUCGGGGCAGGGUGAGUCGACCCCUAAGGCGAGGCCGAAAGGCGUAGUCGAUGGGAAACAGGUUAAUAUUCCUGUACUUGGUGUUACUGCGAAGGGGGGACGGAGAAGGCUAUGUUGGCCGGGCGACGGUUGUCCCGGUUUAAGCGUGUAGGCUGGUUUUCCAGGCAAAUCCGGAAAACCAAGGCUGAGGCGUGAUGACGAGGCACUACGGUGCUGAAGCGACAAAUGCCCUGCUUCCAGGAAAAGCCUCUAAGCAUCAGGUAACAUCAAAUCGUACCCCAAACCGACACAGGUGGUCAGGUAGAGAAUACCAAGGCGCUUGAGAGAACUCGGGUGAAGGAACUAGGCAAAAUGGUGCCGUAACUUCGGGAGAAGGCACGCUGAUAUGUAGGUGAAGCGACUUGCUCGUGGAGCUGAAAUCAGUCGAAGAUACCAGCUGGCUGCAACUGUUUAUUAAAAACACAGCACUGUGCAAACACGAAAGUGGACGUAUACGGUGUGACGCCUGCCCGGUGCCGGAAGGUUAAUUGAUGGGGUUAGCGGCAACGCGAAGCUCUUGAUCGAAGCCCCGGUAAACGGCGGCCGUAACUAUAACGGUCCUAAGGUAGCGAAAUUCCUUGUCGGGUAAGUUCCGACCUGCACGAAUGGCGUAAUGAUGGCCAGGCUGUCUCCACCCGAGACUCAGUGAAAUUGAACUCGCUGUGAAGAUGCAGUGUACCCGCGGCAAGACGGAAAGACCCCGUGAACCUUUACUAUAGCUUGACACUGAACAUUGAGCCUUGAUGUGUAGGAUAGGUGGGAGGCUUUGAAGUGUGGACGCCAGUCUGCAUGGAGCCGACCUUGAAAUACCACCCUUUAAUGUUUGAUGUUCUAACGUUGGCCCGUAAUCCGGGUUGCGGACAGUGUCUGGUGGGUAGUUUGACUGGGGCGGUCUCCUCCUAAAGAGUAACGGAGGAGCACGAAGGUUGGCUAAUCCUGGUCGGACAUCAGGAGGUUAGUGCAAUGGCAUAAGCCAGCUUGACUGCGAGCGUGACGGCGCGAGCAGGUGCGAAAGCAGGUCAUAGUGAUCCGGUGGUUCUGAAUGGAAGGGCCAUCGCUCAACGGAUAAAAGGUACUCCGGGGAUAACAGGCUGAUACCGCCCAAGAGUUCAUAUCGACGGCGGUGUUUGGCACCUCGAUGUCGGCUCAUCACAUCCUGGGGCUGAAGUAGGUCCCAAGGGUAUGGCUGUUCGCCAUUUAAAGUGGUACGCGAGCUGGGUUUAGAACGUCGUGAGACAGUUCGGUCCCUAUCUGCCGUGGGCGCUGGAGAACUGAGGGGGGCUGCUCCUAGUACGAGAGGACCGGAGUGGACGCAUCACUGGUGUUCGGGUUGUCAUGCCAAUGGCACUGCCCGGUAGCUAAAUGCGGAAGAGAUAAGUGCUGAAAGCAUCUAAGCACGAAACUUGCCCCGAGAUGAGUUCUCCCUGAGACUUAGAGUCUCCUGAAGGAACGUUGAAGACGACGACGUUGAUAGGCCGGGUGUGUAAGCGCAGCGAUGCGUUGAGCUAACCGGUACUAAUGAACCGUGAGGCUUAACCUU